Coregonus clupeaformis (lake whitefish) is the source of this 728-nucleotide long non-coding RNA. RefSeq lists it as uncharacterized. The record is from RefSeq and is a predicted model, not a curated record. The transcript is spliced from 3 exons. Lineage: Eukaryota; Metazoa; Chordata; Actinopteri; Salmoniformes; Salmonidae.
UCCAGUGUAAAGGCAAUGAGUCCCUUCUCCUGGACUGUGACACCUCAGACAGAAAAAACAACACCUGCCUACCUGGUAAUGCUGUUGGACUCACCUGCUCAGAGCCCGAUGAUGUGAGGCUGGUGGCAGGAGGCAGUCGCUGUGCUGGUGUAGUGGAGUGGCACUACCAGGGAGAGUGGAGGACUGUGGCAUCUCUUGGCAUGGAGGCUGCAGCUGCCAGGGAGAGUGGAGGACUGUGGCAUCUCUUGGCAUGGAGGCUGCAGCUGCCAGGGAGAGUGGAGGACUGUGGCAUCUCUUGGCAUGGAGGCUGCAGCUGCCAGGGAGAGUGGAGGACUGUGGCAUCUCUUGGCAUGGAGGCUUUAGCUGCAGUAGUGUGUUAGACAGCUGGGUUGUGGCUCUGCUGUUUCAGUAUCUGGUGGAAGAACCGUUCAUUGGAUUGGAGUUCACUGUUCUGGGUCUGAGCCUAGACUGAGGGAGUGUACAGUAUUAGACUUAACCGUUUUUAUCUGGUCAAUCGGUACGAUUUGCUCAGAUCUCCUGGUCCAGCCUGAUAUCUCCCUGACUGACUCAAUGGGAGGGGUCUCCAGGGGCCACGAGGGGCCAGAGGUGUUCAGGGGCCACAGCUUCACCAUCACCUGCUCCACUCAGCCACAGUACCCAGGAGGCUCCUUCCUCCUCACGUUCACCGGCUCCAACAGAACCCAGACCCAGCCAGCUGUCAAUCACUC